UACAGAGGGUGCAAGCGUUGUUCGGAAUUAUUGGGCGUAAAGCGCGUGUAGGCGGCUUUGCAAGUCGGGUGUGAAAUCCCUCAGCUCAACUGAGGAAGUGCGCCCGAAACUGCAGAGCUUGAGUACGAAAGAGGAUCGCGGAAUUCCCCAAGUAGAGGUGAAAUUCGUAGAUAUGGGGAGGAACACCGGUGGCGAAGGCGGCCACCUGGACGGUAACUGACGCUGAGACGCGAAAGCGUGGGGAGCAAACAGG
RNAcentral lists this ribosomal RNA (253 nucleotides) under uncultured bacterium. RNAcentral describes it as "partial 16S ribosomal RNA". It matches the Rfam family "Bacterial small subunit ribosomal RNA", at positions 524 to 776 of the family's 1533-position model. The record is from RNAcentral.